UCGGCAACGGAUAUCUCGGCUCUCGCAUCGAUGAAGAACGUAGCGAAAUGCGAUACCUGGUGUGAAUUGCAGAAUCCCGCGAACCAUCGAGUCUUUGAACGCAAGUUGCGCCCGAGGCCACUCGGCCGAGGGCACGCCUGCCUGGGCGUCACGCCAAAACACGCU
RNAcentral lists this ribosomal RNA (165 nucleotides) under Kengyilia laxiflora. Its description in RNAcentral is "5.8S ribosomal RNA". It matches the Rfam family "5.8S ribosomal RNA". Rfam says of the family: 5.8S ribosomal RNA (5.8S rRNA) is a component of the large subunit of the eukaryotic ribosome. It is transcribed by RNA polymerase I as part of the 45S precursor that also contains 18S and 28S rRNA. Functionally, it is thought that 5.8S rRNA may be involved in ribosome translocation. The record is from RNAcentral. Lineage: Eukaryota; Viridiplantae; Streptophyta; Magnoliopsida; Poales; Poaceae.